RNAcentral lists this transfer RNA (71 nucleotides) under Loxodonta africana (African savanna elephant). It matches the Rfam family "tRNA". Rfam says of the family: Transfer RNA (tRNA) molecules are approximately 80 nucleotides in length. Their secondary structure includes four short double-helical elements and three loops (D, anti-codon, and T loops). The record is from Rfam by way of RNAcentral. Lineage: Eukaryota; Metazoa; Chordata; Mammalia; Proboscidea; Elephantidae.
GCAGUGGUCGUUCGGUAGUAGAAUUCUUGCCUUCCAUAUGGGGGCCCCAGGUUCGAUUCCUGGCCAAUGCA